UAGGGAAUCUUCGGCAAUGGGGGCAACCCUGACCGAGCAACGCCGCGUGAGUGAAGAAGGUUUUCGGAUCGUAAAGCUCUGUUGUAAGAGAAGAACGUGUGUGAGAGUGGAAAGUUCACACAGUGACGGUAACUUACCAGAAAGGGACGGCUAACUACGUGCCAGCAGCCGCGGUAAUACGUAGGUCCCGAGCGUUGUCCGGAUUUAUUGGGCGUAAAGCGAGCGCAGGCGGUUUAAUAAGUCUGAAGUUAAAGGCAGUGGCUUAACCAUUGUUCGCUUUGGAAGCUGUUAAGCUUGAGUGCAGAAGGGGAGAGUGGAAUUCCAUGUGUAGCGGUGAAGUGCGUAGAUAUAUGGAGGAACACCGGUGGCGAAAGCGGCUCUCUGGUCUGUAACUGACGCUGAGGCUCGAAAGCGUGGGGAGCAAACAGG
RNAcentral lists this ribosomal RNA (429 nucleotides) under bacterium. RNAcentral describes it as "partial 16S ribosomal RNA". It matches the Rfam family "Bacterial small subunit ribosomal RNA", at positions 355 to 776 of the family's 1533-position model. The record is from RNAcentral.